Molecule: ribosomal RNA, 371 nt
Filed under: uncultured Rozellomycota
Lineage: Eukaryota; Fungi; Rozellomycota
Description: SSU rRNA
Rfam family: Eukaryotic small subunit ribosomal RNA
Source: RNAcentral
CCAGCUCCAAUAGCGUAUAUUAAAGUUGUUGCAGUUAAAAAGCUCGUAGUUGGACUUUAGGCAAGGCGGUCUGGUCGCCCACUGGGUGUACUGGGCUCGCCGCGCCUCACCUUCGGGGAACUAGUCGUGCUUCGGUGCGCUGGGGAACCGAGCCUUACUUUGAAGAAAUUAGAGUGUUUAAAGCAGGCUUACGCUUGAAUACAUCAGCAUGGAAUAACAAUAUAGGACUUUGGUUCUAUUUUGUUGGUUUGAGGACCAAAGUAAUGAUUAAUAGGGACAGUUGGGGGCAUUAGUAUUCUAUAGUCAGAGGUGAAAUUCUUGGAUUUAUAGAAGACUAACUAAUGCGAAAGCAUUUGCCAAGGAUGUUUUCA